This 658-nucleotide long non-coding RNA is filed under the name Monodelphis domestica (gray short-tailed opossum). RNAcentral's name for it is "lncRNA (ENSMODG00000046791.1)". The record is from RNAcentral. Lineage: Eukaryota; Metazoa; Chordata; Mammalia; Didelphimorphia; Didelphidae.
CAAAAACGAUUCCUGCCUUGAGGAACUCAUGAGCUAAUGGGGGAGACAACGAGCAAACAAAUAUGUACAAAAAUAUAUGUACAUAGGACAAAUAGGAAAUAAUCAGCAGAGAAAAAGCACUGUAAUUAAGAGAAUGCUCCCCGAGUGGCCCUCUAUUGCAAAUCCCAUCAUUCUCAGUGCUCUAAUUAAGUGAUCAGAUUGGAUAGAGCAUGAAUUGACAAGGCCCACUAAGGUGUCGGCUUUAUGUCAGGUAUGAUAUUAUCAGCACCCUGGAGACAGAACAAGGAACAAUACAUCAAAUUCAAAAGAAGCAGUUUUAUAAUAGAAGGAGGAGAAAAAGGCAGAAAGAGGUCACAGUGGAAAGAGCAAGGAGUCUGGAGCUGGAAUCUCAUGAAAAUUGAAAGAGAUGAAUGAUAAGUCAUUCUGUGUUGGAACUCUUACUGAAGACACCACCAGAACUUCUGGCUGAGGACUACCAGGAAAUCCAUGUGGAGAUCAGAAAGCCCCUUUCAGGUCCUGAACUGGACUUCACUUUGCCAGAGAAGCACUUGGGGUUGGUAGGCUAGAUCAGGCUUUAUCUCCUUCCUAUAUUUCCCACUUUCACUAUCUCUAUCUUGUUGUAAAUAAAAGCUGCUAACAAUUCUUUUGACUUAGGGGC